ACCUGGCUAGCUCAGUUGGUGGAGCAUGUGACUCUUGAUCUCAGGGUCAUGGGAUCAAGCCCCACAUUGGGUG
This 73-nucleotide transfer RNA is filed under the name Canis lupus familiaris (dog). It matches the Rfam family "tRNA". From Rfam's summary of the family: Transfer RNA (tRNA) molecules are approximately 80 nucleotides in length. Their secondary structure includes four short double-helical elements and three loops (D, anti-codon, and T loops). RNAcentral also lists the same sequence under 1 other name. The record is from Rfam by way of RNAcentral. Lineage: Eukaryota; Metazoa; Chordata; Mammalia; Carnivora; Canidae.